UUUCCGUAGGUGAACCUGCGGAAGGAUCAAUAGGAAGAGAGAUGUGAGCGCGGGAGCGCGAACAUAUGGGUGCGCUGUGCCAGCCAGCCACGCGGGAGGCGGGUGCAGAGUGACACACGGGUGCGAACGGAGAGAAGAGUGUGAAAGGAGAGAAGGAAGGAAGAGAGAGUGAGAACCCUCAACAAAGGAUCUCUAGGCUCUUGAAACGAUUAAGAACGCAGCAGUCGGAAGCGCACACGUCUGAACUCCCGACACGCAUAGAAAACUCGAAUUCCGUAC
RNAcentral lists this unclassified non-coding RNA (279 nucleotides) under plant metagenome. RNAcentral describes it as "partial contains small subunit ribosomal RNA, internal transcribed spacer 1, and 5.8S ribosomal RNA". The record is from RNAcentral.